Molecule: RNA transcript, 2005 nt
Organism: Balaenoptera musculus (blue whale)
Lineage: Eukaryota; Metazoa; Chordata; Mammalia; Artiodactyla; Balaenopteridae
Gene name: constitutive coactivator of PPAR-gamma-like protein 2
Exons: 8
Source: RefSeq, a predicted model, not a curated record
UAGCCUGCUCGCGCAGCCGCCGUCUCGUCUGCCCACCGACGAAGCAUGGGCGUCCAGGGCUUCCAAGAGUUCCUGGAGAAGCGCUGUCCCGGGGCUGUUGUGCCCGUGGACCUCCUCAAACUCGCGCGUACGGUCUCGCGCCAGCAGCAGCAGCAGCAGCAUCGCCCGCUGCCGCCUACGGCAGCCCUAGCGCCCGGGGCUCCACGCGCCGCCAGGGGCUCCGCGCCUCUGCAACCGCCGCUCGCGCCCGCUGCCUUGGGUGCCUACUCCGGGGGCGCGGGGCCGACUCGGCACCAUCACCCCGCUCACCACUUCCACCAUCACGGCCAGGCGCACCCCGGGCUGCACCCGCCGCCGCCGCCGCCGCCCCCUCCGCUGCCCGGGGCCCGGGUGCUGGUGGACGCGGGCUCAGCGCUGCCUCGGCUUUAUGGCGGCUACCAGACGGAUUGGGUGUGUGGCGGCCAAUGGAACGCCAUGCUGGGCUACUUGUCAGCGCUAUGUCAGGCUUGUGCCUAUCCCGGCGGCGACGGCUUGGAGCUGGUGGUCAUGUUCCCCGGGGGCCUGGGCAAGGACCGGCUGGCCGAGUGGGGCCGUCGGUGCCAGGCCGAGCGGCAGACAGCGCAACUGAUCGUGGGACACGUGGGCAACAAGGGCACCCCUCCUCCACGGGCCUGGUUCCUGCCACCGGCCUGCCUGAGCCACUGCGUGAGGCUAGCGCUCAUCCGCUUCCGGGUCAAGGUCUUUCAGAGCCUUGAAGACCACCAUUUGGAAGUGGUGGCUUUUUUCAGGGAAAAUGGCUUCCAUGGCCUUCUUGCCCAUGACUCCGAGUAUGCUCUCUACAAUAUUCCCUCUUACUAUAGUUCCCAUGCUCUGAAGCUGAGCUGGAAUGGGAAGAACCUUACUACCAACCAGUUCCUGAUGCAGGAGGUGGCCAAGCAGCUGGGUUUGAAGCGGAUGAAUUUUCCCAUAUUUGCUGCAUUGCUAGGUAACCACAUUCUCCCAGAUGAGGACCUGGCCGCUUUUCACUGGAGCCUCUUGGGACCAGAACAUCCCCUUGCAUCACUUAAGGUCAGAGCUCAUCAGCUGGUUCUUCCUCCCUGUGAUGUGGUAAUCAAGGCUGUUUCUGAGUAUGUUAGUUCCAUCAAAGACCCCUCAAACCUGGAUGUGGUUGGGAAGGAUGUUUUCAAACAGUCUCAGGUUUUCGGAAUAAUCGACUUGGAAAUCCUCCCAUUCCACGAAAUCAAAUGGGCACUAUCUCUGCUGGAAAGCCAAUGUUUUCUCACCACGUGCCCCAGAAAAUGAAAUAUCCACCACCAUUCCCAGUGGGACCCAACUCCUCUCUUCUCUUCUCCCCCCAUGCUUUGGGGGAAUCCCAUGCUUUUUCUGAGGAUCCCAUGCUGCAGGACAGCCCCUUUGCCAGUUGGGCUGUCUCUUAUGAUUCCUCUGCAUCCCAGUUUCCCAAUUACCUGACUUCCAAAGCCUCACCUCCUUUGGGACCAGACUCUUCCCACUCCUCUUCCUCUGAUGCUGAUGAGCCAAAUGGAGCCAGCUCUGAUCACAUCACAGAAACACUUCAGCAGCAGCCUGGAUGGGAGGAUCCAAAUGGUGACAGAGGGUCUUGGGUACAGCCCAUCGAUGCUGGAGUUUCAGAUGCCAGCCUGGGUGAUGGUGAGCCCCACAUCCCAUCUCUGCUGUCUAUGUCUACGAGGAACCAUAUGGACAUCACCAUUCCGCCCUUACCUCCAGUAGCUCCAGAAGUCUUGCGGGUUGCUGAACACAGACAUCGAAGGGGUCUUAUGUACCCAUAUAUCUACCAUGUCCUCACUAAGGGUGAGAUUAAGAUCCCUGUAUGUAUUGAGGAUGAGUGUAACAUGGAGCUGCCUCCAGCUGCUCUCCUGUUCCGGUCAGCUCGUCAAUAUGUAUAUGGGGUCCUUUUCAGUCUGGCAGAGACACAGAGGAAAAUGGAACGCCUGGCCAUACGGCGGCGGUUGCCUGUAGAAGGUAC